RNAcentral lists this ribosomal RNA (239 nucleotides) under uncultured bacterium. Its description in RNAcentral is "partial 16S ribosomal RNA". It matches the Rfam family "Bacterial small subunit ribosomal RNA", at positions 524 to 762 of the family's 1533-position model. The record is from RNAcentral.
GACGAACCCGUGCGAACGUUGUUCGGAAUCACUGGGCUUAAAGGGCGCGUAGGCGGUACGCCAAGUCGGGGUGAAAUCUUCGGCUUAACCGGAAAAUGGGCCUUCGAUACUGGCGUGCUAGAAGGGGGUAGGGGCUGCGGGAACAUCCAGUGGAGCGGUGAAAUGCGUUGAUAUUGGAUGGAACGCCGGUGCCGAAAGGGCGCAGCUGGACCUCUCUUGACGCUGAGGCGCGAAAGCUA